This 1208-nucleotide long non-coding RNA is filed under the name Chrysemys picta bellii (western painted turtle). Its description in RNAcentral is "lncRNA (ENSCPBG00000016442.1)". The record is from RNAcentral. Lineage: Eukaryota; Metazoa; Chordata; Testudines; Emydidae.
UGCCCACGAGCCAGCAGGCAGUACCCAGGGGUGCAGAGAUCUAGGAGGGGGGUCAGCAGGCAGCACCCAGGGGUGCAGAGAUCUAGGAGGGGGGUCAGCAGGCAGCACCCAGGGGUGCAGAGAUCUGGGGUGGCUUGGGCUGCGGUAGAAAUCCUGGAGAAAGGGGAAGAAGGAGACAGAUAAAAAGGGAGAGGGAGAAGGAGAAAGAAGAGGAGGAGGAGACAGAGAGAGGGGGAGAGAGAGAGCCCUGGGAGCCAGCAGCAUUGAGGGGAGCAGAGAGCCAGGGACAGGGAAGCAGCCAGAGAGCGAGCGAGCUAAGCGAGCCCGGGCUGUGGGAGCCGGACUCCAGGGGGAGAGUUUCCCCUCCCAGCCCUGGGAGCCAGCACCACUGAGGGGAGCAGAGCUCCGGGAAGAGAAGGAGGAGACCAGCCUGGGGAGUGCGAGCGAUACCAAGGCAUUGUGGAUGACUGACCCGAACCCUUCCUGAAGAUCACUGCACAGUCUGCUUGUGACAUGCGAGUUCCUGGAUUUGCAUUAGAUCCCUGACUUUGAUGCCUCCGAGUGAUACGGUCUGGAGCCCUUAGGACCAGGAAGGCAGCAGGGCUGCAUGACCGGCUGAACAGAUUUAUCGAUUCCAAGGCCAGAAGGGCCCAGAGCGACCAUCUCGGCUCACCUCCUGCACAACACAGGCCCUGGGACAGUUCCUUUCCAUUUGCUCUCGGGCAGAUCACUGGGAAAAACAUCCCAUCUGAAAUUGACAAACAGCCAGUGAUGGAGAAUCCACCACACCCCUCGCGUAUUUGGUCCAGUGGCUAUUUCCCUGCACUGUUAAAAUACCGCGCUUUAUUUCCAGUGUGAAUCUGUCUAGCUUCAGCUUCCAGCCACCGUUCUCGUUAGACCUUUGUUUGCUGGAUAGAAGAGCCCAUUAUUCUCAAAUAUCUGUUCCCCACGUAGAUACCUAUAGACAGUGAUCAAGUCACCCCUUAACCUUCUCUUUGAUAAGCCAAAUAGAUUGAGCUCCGUGAGUCUAUCGCUAAGGCAGGUCGUCUAACCCUUCAAUCCGUCUUGUGGCUCUUCUCUGAACCCUCUCUAAUUUCUCAACAUCCUGCUUGAUUUGUGGACACCAGACCUGAAUACAGUAGUCCAGUAGCAAUCGCACCAAAUACAGAGGUAAUACAUUCUCCUUACUCUUACUCAAAAUUCCCCCA